This 337-nucleotide unclassified non-coding RNA is filed under the name fungal sp. RNAcentral describes it as "partial internal transcribed spacer region". The stretch from base 1 to 46 matches the Rfam family "Eukaryotic small subunit ribosomal RNA", at positions 1786 to 1831 of the family's 1831-position model. The record is from RNAcentral. Lineage: Eukaryota; Fungi.
AAGUCGUAACAAGGUAACCGUAGGUGAACCUGCGGUUGGAUCAUUAAUAAAAUCUUUAAUUGUUAAGUGGUUAAUCAAAAAUUUAUUUUUUUGUAUUAACCCUUUUCAAACAUUUUGUGAACUGUUUUAUUGUUUUUUGGUAGGGCUUAUAGGAUAAUUUUUUUUUAUCUGAAAUAUUUUUUUAUGUGUAGCAAUACUAUAGAAAAAUGUUUUACCUACCAAGUUUUUAAACUUUUUAAAAAUAUUUAUAUACAAGUCUUUAGAAAAAUUGAAAAUUUUGUUUUCAUAUUAUUUAAAAUUAUAAAACAACUUUUGACAACGGAUCUCUAGGCUCUCA